UAAACCUGACAAUACUCUUUAAAGAGUAAAAAUCACCCGUUUUUUGAUGGUAUAUGAAAAUGUCAAAAUAAUGGGUAAAUAAUUUUUCUGCAUAAUGAGUAUUUUAUGCCCAAUUUCAUGUUCCUUGUUUAUACCCUUUAAUGGGUGAAAAACGAAUUAUAGUUUUUGAACAAAACGAAUGGUGCAUUGUCGCUUUUUUGUGGUUUUGUAAUUAAAUAAAUAUCAAACUAAAAGAAUAAAAUAUUCUCGCGUUAACCAGUCGUGGAUGGUUCGGAAAAAGCAGCCAGAAAGAAUCAGGAGCUGUUCCAUCGCGUGGGUGAUUUACUGAUGGCCAGGAUUCCGAGGGAACUUUCAUAGAGAUUAAUACCGAAGGAAUCGGUGGAAUUGCUAUUUCCGGUGCACCGUCUACGUCUGCAGGAUGUCAGCUACUUAUCCAAAUUCCUCACGGCAAGUAGAACCGUUGUUCCGGCGAGUGGGAAAACAUACAGUCAGAUACGGAUAGCACAAAUUUGGAAACCGGCGAUACGGAGACUCGUACCAAAGGCAGCCACCGUAGACAUUUUAUUUUGUCCCCUGGCUGUUGCCGAAACAUCCCAUACAGAAAAUGCGCUUUUCGCCAACAAAAAAAAAUCGUUCGUUCAGUGGAUACGCGAAUAAAAAACAUGUUGAAUUUAUUUUUUUAAAUCGCUUGUACUGUUUAAAUAAAGAUUGAUUUCAAGA
Molecule: long non-coding RNA, 720 nt
Organism: Armigeres subalbatus
Lineage: Eukaryota; Metazoa; Arthropoda; Insecta; Diptera; Culicidae
Exons: 2
Source: RefSeq, a predicted model, not a curated record